Molecule: long non-coding RNA, 1482 nt
Organism: Thunnus maccoyii (southern bluefin tuna)
Lineage: Eukaryota; Metazoa; Chordata; Actinopteri; Scombriformes; Scombridae
Exons: 6
Source: RefSeq, a predicted model, not a curated record
CUGCGGGAAGACACAAGAACACAUAUCCUUCCGCUGAAGUCACAGUGGACCUAUCAUUUGAGUGAAACGAUGGUGAAAAACGUGUUAAACGCCUAUAUCUAAAUUAUAAUUGUUUAAGAUCUCUUUAGAAAAUUCGUACUACUUAAUACAUUCGUUGACUGUAUCCAGGACACCACAAAAAAAGCACACUCAAAGUUUUCUUUUUCUGUGUCGCCGCCGCGGAGGAAUUUUUUUUCUCAUUUUUCUACUUCUCGGUGCUUGGAUGACUCAAAAUUAACCCGUUCAAUGAUGUUUUUUUUUCUUUUCUCCUCCCCUUGAACUACACGCUUUUUCCCGAUAUGUCUUCUAACACCCACUCUUCACUAACUUUCUUCUCUAGCAUGACUUUUCAUGCCAUACUGAGCAUAAGGCUUCAUCGUUAACAACUGCAGUGUUCAGACCCAGACUACAUCAUUUUGCUACUGUGUGCGAGGAAAUAAAAGUGAAGAUAGAUUAUACCAGAGAAACACUGCCGAGCCUCCUGCCGCUGCGACCGGCCCUCUGUCCUCUAUUCAACCCUGCUGAAAGGCCUGGGACCAGGGGGAGCAAAUUGAUCUCCUCAGGGUGGUCAAAGGUGGAGAGUCAGCGAGCACGAGUGCCUGAUGUGACCAAGCGUGAUGUGGGUAGUGGCCUCAGCCAAAGGGGUCCCUGAUGAGGAGAAAAGGGGAGCUGGCAGAGAGAUGAGUUUGACAUACCUAAAGGGCAAUUCGAGCACUCAGCGUGAGAUACUCUUGCAGAAUUAUGACGGCAAGGUGUGAUGGGUCAGGAGUGGUCUGCGAUGAGGUGAUAAAGAACACACAGCGUGCAGCGCAGGUCGAGGCCUGCGGAACAGCCCUGCUCCGCGCACCACACCGACCCCCCCUGUGAGAAGUUCCCGGUUCCCAGGACCCGGUGUGUACGUUUGGGGGCAAUAACUCACCAGGUCCCUUUAACUUCCUCUUUCGGCCUUCUGCGUUUUAUGACCCUCUCCUCUGCCAUACAGCUGCUGUCUCCGCAGCUUCCCUUUACUCUGAUUGGAUCAGACGGGGAGUUUGAGAGAAGAGGAUGAACGGGGGGAAGAGACGGGGGGAAGCAGCUGGGAUGAGGUGGGAAGCUGGUCUGAUAUGGGAUGGAAUUUUUAUCAGGGCCUUCACAGAGGACGAGAUGGACACAGUAUCCGUCAUUGUGGUCUGCUUCAUACUGCUCCUUUCCACCACACUUUACGUGUACAUUGGGAAACUUAGCAGCCUCAUAAUCAGGCUGAAUCGCCAGUUUGUUUUUCCCUUCAUUAAUUCAGUUUAAAUCACUAAAAAUCUGGAUAUGCAAGCAGUGAUUCAGAUUUCUAGGAAAGCAUUUUUAUUUUUUUUCCAUUUAACAGUACUGUUCUUACAAAUCUGUAAUGUUUCUUUUGAACUGCUCAGCAGGGAUUUACAGCAACUGUACAUUAAAGCAUUGAUUAAAAUA